RNAcentral lists this ribosomal RNA (1092 nucleotides) under Triticum aestivum (bread wheat). RNAcentral describes it as "partial small subunit ribosomal RNA". The record is from RNAcentral. Lineage: Eukaryota; Viridiplantae; Streptophyta; Magnoliopsida; Poales; Poaceae.
AUGAAGCGGCAUCUGUUCGUGGUGCUAGAGGACUACGACGAGGACAGCUUCGCGAUCCAUAAGCUGGACAUUGGCGGCGACGGCGACGACGAGGGCGAUCUGGACAUUCACUCCGGAAUAUCCCUGCGGCGUCUCCCCGAGCCUCCCGCCGGCCGAAUAGGGUGCCGUUACGGGGACCGCCGUAUGCUAGUGCGGAAAGAUAUGCAGUUCACCGUCCUGGGCAGCCGCAUCAUUGCCAUAGGCCCCAGCACCGACUUAAACUUGACCUCGGCCGGCUCCUCGAUCGUCGUCUACGACACCAGGACGGCGGCGCUGACCAUAUCCGACCUUCCUGGGAUGAAUAGGUACCACAGCUACGAGUUGGUGGUGGCCGCCAGGGAUAGGCUGUACGCGCUCGAAUACGACGGCCUCUGCCGCUCCGAUGACGUGCACAUCUACGGAGGCUUGCACUGCCUCAAGAGCGACGACGACAAGGCAGAUCGCCGGGGCGGACGGUCGAGUUGCAGCAGGGGCACCAUCUUCCUGUCCGCCGCCAACAAAAUCCCCGCCGGAGGGUUUGCUCACGUGCCCCCGGGCACCUUCUCCUACGGCGUCCGGAGCGGGAGGUGGACGCGCCGCGGCGACUGGAUGCUGCCGUUCAAGGGCCCCGCACACGACGACCCCGACCUGGACGCCUGGGUUGGCCUCGACACCUCCUGCGAUGAUCCAGACGAUGACGACCCCUGCCACAAGGACGAGAUCCACCUGUGCGCGUGCGGCGUCCCGUCUGGUGGCCGUGCCAGCAGGCACGGCCAGCCGCCGCCGUGGAAGAAGGUCCGCGUCGACAAGCUGUUGUGGGAGGACCUGGACUGCAGCCACGUCAAGAUGCAGCUCCUGUACGUGGGUGGACGGAGCGACUACUGCCUCCUUGAGCAUCUGCGACUGCGAGUCAAGGCCACGGCCGGGGAUGGCGAGUACGAGUACGUGCUCCGUUUAACUAUGUUCCGAGUCGCCUGUGGUGAUGACGGGGAGCUCGUGCUCGUGGCUCGGCGGCCUGCCCGAACUUACCAACUGCCCAGCGGUGAUGCUGCUCGUGCCUUCUUCUGCAUGUGA